GGGCCGUUAGCUCAGUCAGGUAGAGCACCGGAUUUUUAAUCCGGGAGUCGUAGGUUCAAUUCCUACACGGCCCA
Molecule: transfer RNA, 74 nt
Filed under: candidate division TA06 bacterium DG_26
Lineage: Bacteria
Description: tRNA-Lys
Rfam family: tRNA
About the family: Transfer RNA (tRNA) molecules are approximately 80 nucleotides in length. Their secondary structure includes four short double-helical elements and three loops (D, anti-codon, and T loops).
Source: RNAcentral